CUAGGUACAGAUUUUCAACUGUGCCUCCACAAGCUCUUCCUCAUGUGAACCCUCAAAUACUGCAGAUGAGUUACAUCAGUGAAGGUGAUUCUCGGAGGAGGUAUUUGAUUUCCACAUCCCGCUUGGACGUUGAUGGGGGCCAAGAGGACUGAUAUACUGGGAAACUGGCUGCAUGCUGACAGAGGCUGGCUGUUUAUGAGGUGUGACAUGGGCCACAGAGGAAGGAUGAAACUGGAAGGAAACGAGCUUGGACGCUCUGUGGGACGCCUGUCCCAGGACUGGGGUCUGUCCCUGGCAGAGAAGCGUUUCCGUGGAUGGGCUCUGUGCCUGUGGGGGUUCCUGGCUGCUGUGCUGGGGUGCACUCACCACUGCCUUCAACCGCAGGGCCCCAGUGAAAGCGCAAACCUCGUGUGUUGCGCUGCAGUGGGGUUGCAGUCGCUGAUGGCAGCGUGA
Molecule: long non-coding RNA, 453 nt
Filed under: Anser cygnoides (Swan goose)
Lineage: Eukaryota; Metazoa; Chordata; Aves; Anseriformes; Anatidae
Description: lncRNA (ENSACDG00005015388.1)
Source: RNAcentral